AGCUUUGCGCAGUGGCAGUAUCGUAGCCAAUGAGGUUUAUCCGAGGUGCGAUUAUUGCUAAUUGAGAAGAAUUAAUAUUGUUAAAAUGUUCAUGCUACCCAAAGUGAUCUAUGGAUUCAAUGCAAUCUCUCUCUCUUUUUUAAAAAA
Small nuclear RNA from Mustela erminea (ermine), 147 nucleotides. RefSeq annotates it as U4 spliceosomal RNA. The record is from RefSeq and is a predicted model, not a curated record. Lineage: Eukaryota; Metazoa; Chordata; Mammalia; Carnivora; Mustelidae. The transcript has a single exon.